Molecule: ribosomal RNA, 448 nt
Filed under: uncultured bacterium
Lineage: Bacteria
Description: bacterial SSU rRNA
Rfam family: Bacterial small subunit ribosomal RNA
Source: RNAcentral
UGACGGUACCUAACCAGAAAGCCACGGCUAACUACGUGCCAGCAGCCGCGGUAAUACGUAGGUGGCAAGCGUUGUCCGGAAUUAUUGGGCGUAAAGCGCGCGCAGGCGGUCCUUUAAGUCUGAUGUGAAAGCCCACGGCUCAACCGUGGAAGGUCAUUGGAAACUGGGGGACUUGAGUACAGAAGAGAAGAGUGGAAUUCCACGUGUAGCGGUGAAAUGCGUAGAGAUGUGGAGGAACACCAGUGGCGAAGGCGACUCUUUGGUCUGUAACUGACGCUGAGGCGCGAAAGCGUGGGGAGCAAACAGGAUUAGAUACCCUGGUAGUCCACGCCGUAAACGAUGAGUGCUAAGUGUUAGAGGGUUUCCGCCCUUUAGUGCUGCAGCAAACGCAUUAAGCACUCCGCCUGGGGAGUACGGCCGCAAGGCUGAAACUCAAAGGAAUUGACGG